This 428-nucleotide ribosomal RNA is filed under the name uncultured archaeon. Its description in RNAcentral is "bacterial SSU rRNA". It matches the Rfam family "Archaeal small subunit ribosomal RNA", at positions 474 to 903 of the family's 1478-position model. The record is from RNAcentral.
UACCAGCUCUCCGAGUGGUAGGGAUGAUUAUUGGGCUUAAAGCGUCCGUAGCCGGCUUAGCAAGUUUCCUGUUAAACUCAGCGACCUAAUCGUUGAAUCGCGGGAAAUACUACUAGGCUAGGAGGCGGGAGAGGUCGACGGUACUUCUGGGGUAGGGGUGAAAUCCUAUAAUCCCGGGAGGACCACCAGUGGCGAAGGCUGUCGACUAGAACGCGCUCGACGGUGAGGGACGAAAGCUGGGGUAGCGAACCGGAUUAGAUACCCGGGUAGUCCCAGCUGUAAACGAUGCGGGCUAGGUGUUGGGAUGGCUACGUGCCAUUUCAGUGCCGCAGGGAAGCCAUUAAGCCCGCCGCCUGGGGAGUACGGCCGCAAGGCUGAACUUAAAGGAAUUGGCGGGGGAGCACCACAAGGCGUGAAGCUUGCGGUUC